UAAAGGAUGUGAACAUAUACAACAAUUUUGCUGAUGCUGUUCGCUGACAGAUUAACCAAGUACUUCCGUUGGACGGAAGAGGUGCAAGUAAACUUAACUGAUAACACUUCUGUAUACUACUAUUUGUAUAAUACUUUUUGUGCAAGUUACGUGUUUACAAUCACUGCUUAUUGUAUGAAAUGGCUUUGAGAAAUAUUUUGUUUGCUCUUGUUGUUAUCUCUACUUAUUCGAAUCUUGUAAAUUCAGACGGAGGUACAUGUAAAACUACAUUUGAGAACAAAGAAGUAGAAAUUAAUAAUGGCGAUACAGUUUGGCUGAACCCAUGCCUUUUUUGUUGGUGCUAUGAAGUUACCAAAGAAGCCGUAUGUAAUACUGUAGACUGUCCGACAUGGAGUUGUGAUGACGGCCUCCAACUGACAUAUCUGGACGGACAAUGUUGUCCAUCUUGUCUUCCAAAUGAUCAGUGAUUUUAUAGCGUUUAUAUCAUAUAACAGUUAGCUUUGAGUUGGCAAUUAAAGUAUUUUACUUUC
Long non-coding RNA from Mytilus trossulus (common blue mussel), 530 nucleotides. RefSeq lists it as uncharacterized. The transcript has 2 exons. NCBI's taxonomy places the organism in Eukaryota, Metazoa, Mollusca, Bivalvia, Mytilida, Mytilidae. The record is from RefSeq and is a predicted model, not a curated record.